RNAcentral lists this ribosomal RNA (165 nucleotides) under Descurainia pinnata subsp. menziesii. RNAcentral's name for it is "5.8S ribosomal RNA". It matches the Rfam family "5.8S ribosomal RNA". Rfam says of the family: 5.8S ribosomal RNA (5.8S rRNA) is a component of the large subunit of the eukaryotic ribosome. It is transcribed by RNA polymerase I as part of the 45S precursor that also contains 18S and 28S rRNA. Lineage: Eukaryota; Viridiplantae; Streptophyta; Magnoliopsida; Brassicales; Brassicaceae. The record is from RNAcentral.
CUAAAACGACUCUCGGCAACGGAUAUCUCGGCUCUUGCAUCGAUGAAGAACGUAGCGAAAUGCGAUACUUGGUGUGAAUUGCAGAAUCCCGUGAACCAUCGAGUCUUUGAACGCAAGUUGCGCCCCAAGCCUUCUGGCCGAGGGCACGUCUGCCUGGGUGUCACA